RNAcentral lists this ribosomal RNA (253 nucleotides) under uncultured bacterium. RNAcentral's name for it is "partial 16S ribosomal RNA". It matches the Rfam family "Bacterial small subunit ribosomal RNA", at positions 524 to 776 of the family's 1533-position model. The record is from RNAcentral.
UACGUAGGGGGCGAGCGUUGUCCGGAGUUACUGGGCGUAAAGGGCAUGCAGGCGGUCGGACGCGUUUCGGGUGACAGCGGGUGGCUUAACUACCCGAGUGGUCGAAAGACGGUUUGACUUGAGGACGCGAGAGGGACACGGAGUUCCGGGUGGAGUGGUGAAAUGCGUAGAGAUCCGGAGGAACACCGAAGGCGAAGGCAGUGUCCUGGCGCGUAACUGACGCUGAGGUGCGAAAGCCAGGGGAGCGAACGGG